Molecule: transfer RNA, 84 nt
Filed under: bacterium
Lineage: Bacteria
Also listed under: 1 other name
Description: tRNA-Leu
Rfam family: tRNA
About the family: Transfer RNA (tRNA) molecules are approximately 80 nucleotides in length. Their secondary structure includes four short double-helical elements and three loops (D, anti-codon, and T loops).
Source: RNAcentral
GCCGAAGUGGCGGAAUUGGCAGACGCGUCAGGUUCAGGACCUGGUAGGGGCGACCCUGUGGGGGUUCGAGUCCCCCCUUCGGCA